Molecule: ribosomal RNA, 350 nt
Filed under: uncultured bacterium
Lineage: Bacteria
Description: bacterial SSU rRNA
Rfam family: Bacterial small subunit ribosomal RNA
Source: RNAcentral
GCCUAACACAUGCAAGUCGAACGAGAUCUUCGGAUCUAGUGGCGCACGGGUGCGUAACGCGUGGGAAUCUGCCCUUGGGUUCGGAAUAACAGUUAGAAAUGACUGCUAAUACCGGAUGAAGUCUACGGACCAAAGAUUUAUCGCCCAGGGAUGAGCCCGCGUAGGAUUAGCUAGUUGGUGGGGUAAAGGCCUACCAAGGCGACGAUCCUUAGCUGGUCUGAGAGGAUGAUCAGCCACACUGGGACUGAGACACGGCCCAGACUCCUACGGGAGGCAGCAGCUGGGGAAUAUUGGACAAUGGGGGCAACCCUGAUCCAGCAAUGCCGCGUGAGUGAUGAAGGCCUUCGGGU